CGCUAUACAUGCAGUCGACGAGAAAGGCCCUUCGGGGACGAGUAAAGUGGCGGACGGGUGAGGAACGCGUGGAUAACAUGCCCUUCAGCGGGGGAUAACUAUUGGAAACGAUAGCUAAUACCGCAUAAGACUACGACUCCUGCGGGUAACGUAGUCAAAGGCUUCGGCCACUGAAGGAUUGGUCCGCGUCCGAUUAGUUUGUUGGUGGGGUAAAGGCCUACCAAGACUACGAUCGGUAGCUGGUCUCAGAGGAUGAUCAGCCACACUGGAACUGAGACACGGUCCAGACUCCUACGGGAGGCAGCAGUAGGGAAUAUUGCACAAUGGAGGAAACUCUGAUGCAGUGACGCCGCGUGAGCGAUGAAGGCCUUCGGGUUGUAAAGCUCUGUGAUAUGGGAAGAUAAUGACGGUACCAUAUCAGAAAGGACCGGCUAACUUCGUGCCAGCAGCCGCGGUAAUACGAGGGGUCCAAGCGUUGUUCGGAAUUACUGGGCGUAAAGCGGGUGUAGGCGGCUAGGCUAGUCGGAUGUGAAAGCCCAGGGCUCAACCCUGGAAGUGCAUCCGAUACUGCCUAGCUUGAAUACUGGAGAGGGAAGUGGAAUUCCUGGUGUAGCGGUGAAAUGCGUAGAUAUCAGGAGGAACAUCGGUGGCGAAGGCGGCUUCCUGGCCAUGUAUUGACGCUCAGACCCGAAAGCGUGGGUAGCAAACAGGAUUAGAUACCCUGGUAGUCCACGCCGUAAACUAUGGACACUUGGUGUUGGAGGUAUUGACCCCUUCAGUCGCUAUACAUCGCUAUACAUUGUCCCC
This 807-nucleotide ribosomal RNA is filed under the name uncultured Bdellovibrionales bacterium. RNAcentral's name for it is "bacterial SSU rRNA". It matches the Rfam family "Bacterial small subunit ribosomal RNA", at positions 47 to 871 of the family's 1533-position model. Lineage: Bacteria; Pseudomonadati; Bdellovibrionota; Bdellovibrionia; Bdellovibrionales. The record is from RNAcentral.